UCUGGUGUCAAUGUCGAGGGUGUCACACCUCUUCCCAUUCCGAACAGAGCAGUUAAGCCCCUCAGAGCCGAUGGUACUACGCGGGAGACUGCGUGGGAGAGUAGGACGACGCCAGAU
Molecule: ribosomal RNA, 117 nt
Filed under: Ignavibacteria bacterium
Lineage: Bacteria; Pseudomonadati; Ignavibacteriota; Ignavibacteria
Source: RNAcentral